RNAcentral lists this ribosomal RNA (500 nucleotides) under uncultured bacterium. RNAcentral describes it as "bacterial SSU rRNA". It matches the Rfam family "Bacterial small subunit ribosomal RNA", at positions 1002 to 1512 of the family's 1533-position model. The record is from RNAcentral.
GGAAACACUUCUUCCCUUCGGGGCUCUCAGCAAGGUGCUGCAUGGUUGUCGUCAGCUCGUGCCGUGAGGUGUCGGGUUAAGUCCCAUAACGAGCGCAACCCUUAUCGUUAGUUGCCAGCGGGUAAUGCCGGGAACUCUAGCGAAACUGCCGGUGUAAACCGAGAGGAAGGUGGGGAUGACGUCAAAUCAGCACGGCCCUUAUGUCCAGGGCCACACACGUGUUACAAUGGCCGGUACAGAGGGCAGCUACCUGGAGACAGGAUGCGAAUCUCCAAAGCCGGUCUCAGUUCGGAUUGGAGUCUGCAACUCGACUCCGUGAAGCUGGAUUCGCUAGUAAUCGCGCAUCAGCCAUGGCGCGGUGAAUACGUUCCCGGGCCUUGUACGCACCGCCCGUCAAGCCAUGGAAGUUGGGGGUACCUGAAGUCCGUAACCGCAAGGAGCGGCCUAGGGUAAAACCAGUGACUGGGGCUAAGUCGUAACAAGGUAGCCGUACCGGAAGG